Molecule: long non-coding RNA, 353 nt
Organism: Macrobrachium nipponense
Lineage: Eukaryota; Metazoa; Arthropoda; Malacostraca; Decapoda; Palaemonidae
Exons: 4
Source: RefSeq, a predicted model, not a curated record
AUUUAUGUCUCCGUGAUAGUGUUGUUGGCAUGAUUGGGUUUGAGAUCAGUGCCUAUGGCGGAGCGCGGUGAGGGGACCGCAGGGGGGUCACACUCACGAGCCACCACCAGUGGGGCCCACACUGCCGCAACCAGAAAUAGACGAAUGGGGAUAGAUGAUGAAGGCAUCUCGAAUUACCAAUGAGUUUAAUUCAAAUUUAAGGGAGGUGUUGGACCAGGAAUCAGCUGGUUGGGUCAGGUGUGGAGGGGUUGGAGGCAAUCGGGAGACCCCUACCCUUGCGCAAACGCAAAUUUGGUCUCGCAGAAGAUUUUCAUACUAAAAGACGAAAUAGUGAAAGUCAUACCAAGCCAACA